UGAGACCUCUUGAUGGCCGCGGCACACUUCGGUGUGCUGAGGAACUUCCGGGCUCCACAGAGCACGAUGGCGGAUAACGUCCGCCCAGGGUGACCUGAGAGAGAGCGCAGCAGAGAACAGACCGCCCGGUUUCGGUCGGGUAAGGGUGAAACGGCGGUGUAAGAGACCACCGGGCCGCUGGUAACAGUCGGUCGCACGGCAAGCCUCAUCGGGAGCAAGGCCAAGCAGAAGGCACGUCGAUGCAAGUCGACAGGGGUUGCUCGCCCACGCCUUCGGGUAGGCUGCUAGAGCCUGGCGGCGACGUCAGGUCGAGAUGGAUGGCCAUCCAUGUGGCGACACAUGACAAAACCCGGGGUAUAAGAGGUCUCAUCUU
Bifidobacterium mongoliense DSM 21395 is the source of this 373-nucleotide non-coding RNA. It matches the Rfam family "Bacterial RNase P class A". From Rfam's summary of the family: Ribonuclease P (RNase P) is a ubiquitous endoribonuclease, found in archaea, bacteria and eukarya as well as chloroplasts and mitochondria. Its best characterised activity is the generation of mature 5'-ends of tRNAs by cleaving the 5'-leader elements of precursor-tRNAs. NCBI's taxonomy places the organism in Bacteria, Bacillati, Actinomycetota, Actinomycetes, Bifidobacteriales, Bifidobacteriaceae. The record is from Rfam.